Molecule: ribosomal RNA, 254 nt
Filed under: uncultured bacterium
Lineage: Bacteria
Description: partial 16S ribosomal RNA
Rfam family: Bacterial small subunit ribosomal RNA
Source: RNAcentral
UACGGGGGGAGCAAGCGUUGUUCGGAUUUACUGGGCGUAAAGGGCGCGUAGGCGGCCACCGCAAGUCAGUUGUGAAAUCUCUGGGCUUAACCCAGAAAGGUCAACUGAUACUGCGGGGCUAGAGUGCAGAAGGGGCAACUGGAAUUCUCGGUGUAGCGGUGAAAUGCGUAGAUAUCGAGAGGAACACCUGCGGCGAAGGCGGCCUUCUGGACAGUGACUGACGCUGAGACGCGAAAGCGUGGGGAGCAAACAGG